GUGUCAGUGUUGUUUGUGUGUAUCAAUGUGUGUGUCAGUGUGUGUGUGUGUGUGGUUGUGUCAGUGUGUGUGUGUGGUUGUGUCAGUGUGUGUGUGUAGUUGUGUCAGUGUGUGUGUGUGUGUGCGUGUGUGUUGAUUAUGUAUCAGUGUGUGUGUGUGUGGUUGUGUCAGGGUGUGUGUGUGGUUGUGUCAGGGUGUGUGUGUGGUUGUGUCAGGGUGUGUGUGUGGUUGUGUCAGGGGGUGUUGGGUAAUGGGGAAAUAGACCAUGGGAGGUCUAUGAGUGUGUGUGUGUGAUUCUGAGAGAGCAGUGAGAGGGUGUGUGAUUGUGUGUGUGUGUGUGGUUGUGUCAGUGUGUGUGUGUAGUUGUGUCAGUGUGUGUGUGUGUGCGUGUGUGUUGAUUAUGUAUCAGUGUGUGUGUGUGGGUU
Molecule: long non-coding RNA, 425 nt
Organism: Oncorhynchus tshawytscha (Chinook salmon)
Lineage: Eukaryota; Metazoa; Chordata; Actinopteri; Salmoniformes; Salmonidae
Source: Ensembl